AUUGAACGCUGGCGGCAUGCCUUACACAUGCGAGUCGAACGGCAUCGCGGGAAAGCUUGCUUUCCUGGCGGCGAGUGGCGAACGGGUGAGUAACACAUCGGAACGUACCGGCUAGGGGGGGAUAACCCGUCGAAAGACGGGCUAAUACCGCAUACGCCCUUCGGAGGAAAGCAGGGGACCUUUGGGCCUUGGGCUAGCCGAGCGGCCGGGGUCCGAUUAGCUAGUUGGGGGGGUAAAGGCCUACCAAGGCGACGAUCGGUAGGGGGUCUGAGAGGACGGUCCGCCACCCUGGGACGGAGACACGGCCCAGACUCCUACGGGAGGCAGCAGUGGGGAAUCUUGGACAAUGGGGGCAACCCUGAUCCAGCAAUGCCGCGUGGGUGAAGAAGGCCUUCGGGUUGUAAAGCCCUUUCGGCAGGGAAGAAAUCGGCGGGGCGAAUAACCCUGCUGGAUGACGGUACCUGCAGAAGAAGCACCGGCUAACUACGUG
This 490-nucleotide ribosomal RNA is filed under the name uncultured bacterium. RNAcentral describes it as "partial 16S ribosomal RNA". It matches the Rfam family "Bacterial small subunit ribosomal RNA", at positions 28 to 507 of the family's 1533-position model. The record is from RNAcentral.